GACGAACGCUGGCGGCGUGCUUAACACAUGCAAGUCGAACGGAAAGGCCUCUUUCGGGGGGUACUCGAGUGGCGAACGGGUGAGUAACACGUGAGUAACCUGCCCUUGACUUUGGGAUAACUUCAGGAAACUGGGGCUAAUACCGGAUAGGAGCUCCUGCUGCAUGGUGGGGGUUGGAAAGUUUCGGCGGUUGGGGAUGGACUCGCGGCUUAUCAGCUUGUUGGUGGGGUAGUGGCUUACCAAGGCUUUGACGGGUAGCCGGCCUGAGAGGGUGACCGGCCACAUUGGGACUGAGAUACGGCCCAGACUCCUACGGGAGGCAGCAGUGGGGAAUAUUGCACAAUGGGUGGAAGCCUGAUGCAGCAACGCCGUGUGCGGGAUGACGGCCUUCGGGUUGGAAACCACUUUCGCUCAUGACGAAGCUUUGUGUGACGGUAGUGGGUAAAGAAGCACCGGCUAACUACGUG
Molecule: ribosomal RNA, 467 nt
Filed under: uncultured bacterium
Lineage: Bacteria
Description: partial 16S ribosomal RNA
Rfam family: Bacterial small subunit ribosomal RNA
Source: RNAcentral